UAAGAUCCACUCGCCUCGCCGUGACAGGUAGUCGUUAAAGAGAAAGGCUAUGCAAAUUACGCCUUCAAAAUGACGUAAGCACGCCCACUGGAUUCCACUCACUGACUGGUCAAACAAUAGUGUUAGAACUCUGAGAUAUUGUACUGCACGGAUCGGUGGAAGCCCGGAUCCGUAUUCACAUAUAUGGGAGCUCUAUAUCUAUGCUAGUGCCAGGCACAAACGGGGACCAUGGAAGCUGUCAACAUGUAAUGGAUUAGUCUGCUCGGAGGAUCGAGGUCUCUAAUGUUGGACCUCAAUACAGCUGCGAGAUGCGAGAAAUGACUGAACAUCACGCUAUACAUGCGCGGCAACAGCCAUUUUUGUUUUAUUGCAUACUUUGUAAAAUUUUGAUCCAAAGAUAAUUAUAUCUUAAUAUAUUUCUGAAAUGCACAAAAUAAAAAUAUUUUUUCAUAGUUUUAUAUUCAUUGAAUAUACCUUUUAAAUGUGGAUAUUCAAAUUAUUAGCCUCACAAACAGUAUAUGGUUCUGAAUAUUUACUUAUUUUCCAUGUCAUUUCAAGUGAGCAAAACUUCUAUUGAAACAUGCCGAGUUGGGUGAUUCCGUUGUCUAUUUGGUGCAUCUAUGUCUUUCAUAUUUUAAUGAUGCAUCCCGAUGUGCCAUUUGUUGUAAUAAAUGUUUUGAAAAUGUUUUGAGCGUUAAGUACGUGAGAAAUGUAAGACAAUUGAAACAAAGCACCACAUUUUGCAGGAAACUUUAUAUGCUCAUAGAACUUAAAUAAUUUGUUUUUAUUGUGACUUACACUUGGUGUAUUCUUUAUUUUAUUUAUUUUAAAAGUGUUUGUCCCUUUGGUCCUAGUUCUCUGUAAACUGUGUACACUGAUUAAGAAAGGUAUAAUGUACUUUUCUUUUCAUUUGCUAUUUCACGAAUAAAACAAGAAUAUCAAUGUA
Molecule: long non-coding RNA, 946 nt
Organism: Tachysurus fulvidraco (yellow catfish)
Lineage: Eukaryota; Metazoa; Chordata; Actinopteri; Siluriformes; Bagridae
Exons: 2
Source: RefSeq, a predicted model, not a curated record